This 263-nucleotide ribosomal RNA is filed under the name uncultured bacterium. RNAcentral's name for it is "partial 16S ribosomal RNA". It matches the Rfam family "Bacterial small subunit ribosomal RNA", at positions 78 to 334 of the family's 1533-position model. The record is from RNAcentral.
CGGUUGGACAAGUAAAGUGGCGAACGGGUGAGUAACACGUGGAUAAUCUGCCCUUAAAUCUGGGAUAAUCCCCCGAAAGGAGGUCUAAUACCGGAUGAUACCCUUUAAUGGCAUCGUUUUAGGGUCAAAGGCGGGGUAACCUGCCGUUUAAGGAUGAGUCCGCGUCCCAUUAGCUUGUUGGUGAGGUAACGGCCCACCAAGGCUGCGAUGGGUAGCCGGCCUGAGAGGGCGAUCGGCCACACUGGGACUGAGAUACGGCCCAG